GAUGAACGCUGGCGGCGUGCCUAACACAUGCAAGUCGAGCGAACGGACGAGAAGUUUGUUUCUCUGAUGUUAGCGGCGGACGGGUGAGUAACACGUGGAUAACCUACCUACAAGACUGGGAUAACUUCGGGAAACCGGAGAUAAUAUCGGAUAAUAUUUUGAACCGCAUGGUUCAAAAGUGAAUGACGGUCUUGCUGUCACUUAUAGAUGGUUCCGCGCUGCAUUAGCUAGUUGGUAAGGUAACGGCUUACUAAGGCAACGAUGCAUAGCCGACCUGAGAGGGUGAUCGGCCACGCUGGAACUGGGACACGGUCCAGGCUCCUACGGGAGGCAGCGGUAGGGGAUCUUCCGCAUUGGGCGGAAGCCUGACGGAGCAGCGCCGCGUGAGUGAUGAAGAUCUUCGGAUCGUGAAACUCUGUUAUUGGGGAAGAACAGAUGUGUAAGUGGCUGUGCACAUCUUGACGGUACCUAAUCAGGAAGCCACGGCUAACUACGUG
Molecule: ribosomal RNA, 497 nt
Filed under: uncultured bacterium
Lineage: Bacteria
Description: partial 16S ribosomal RNA
Rfam family: Bacterial small subunit ribosomal RNA
Source: RNAcentral